UACGUAGGGUGCGAGCGUUGUCCGGAAUUAUUGGGCGUAAAGGGCUCGUAGGCGGUCUGUCACGUCGGGAGUGAAAACACGGGGCUUAACCCCGUGCCUGCUUCCGAUACGGGCAGACUAGAGGUAUGCAGGGGAGAACGGAGUUCCUGGUGUAGCGGUGAAAUGCGCAGAUAUCAGGAGGAACACCGGUGGCGAAGGCGGUUCUCUGGGCAUUACCUGACGCUGAGGAGCGAAAGUGUGGGGAGCGAACAGG
This 253-nucleotide ribosomal RNA is filed under the name uncultured bacterium. Its description in RNAcentral is "partial 16S ribosomal RNA". It matches the Rfam family "Bacterial small subunit ribosomal RNA", at positions 524 to 776 of the family's 1533-position model. The record is from RNAcentral.